CCCCGAAAUUUGCCUAUUAUAACUUUUCCUCCGGAACCGACGGGGAGGUAGGGACGGAGCGCGAGCCAGUCCUUGCGUGGCCUGCAACGCACCUUUCUCCGCGCCGCCCCGCUGUGUCUCAGGAGUGCACCUGUGUGUGCUAAGCUGCAUCCGUACACUGAGGUCAGGUGUGAGGACAGAGAGGUGACCGCUGGCGGGACCACCUUGGAGAUGAGCCUGCCCCCCCCACUGCCCGAGAGACCAGCCGCCCCGGGAGGAAGGAAGCAGGAAGGAAAAUGCCCGGAUUCUUCAGAAGUUCGCUGCCUUACACGGGAGAGACAUCCUGGAAAGCAAACGCUGUGGGACACAAAUGAGCAGACGCGUGGACGAGCAGACGACAAAAGCAGGAGCGACAGCCAGGCUGAAGUACUCGAAACAAACUCCAGGGACAGGACACAACCAAGCCUGACUGUCCAACCUCCUGAAUGUGAGGCACGACCAGAGGAGGGGAGGCCAUCCUGGCCCGGAAAUGACCUCAUGGCCAAACGUGGCCCACAGACUUUUUGCGGGGCCUGCGGUGUUCCAGGCACCUGUUUUAACAGUUCCCAAAUCCCGUCGGGGCCCCCCACACUGCGGGGCCCUGCUGCCCACUUGACGGGCAGUCAAGCCACAGAAGCACCCGCCUCUCCUGGCCCUUGGGCCAGUGACCGGGGACAAAGAGAGGCUAAGAGCCAGAAGUGACAGGUGCGCGUCCUCAGAGCCAGGGGGACCCCAGCUCCUGGCCCGUACUAAAUCGCUUAACCCUCCCAAUAACCCCCUGAAGCAGGACUGCUCUUCGUUCUCAGACCGGGAAACUGAGUCAAGGAAACGCGAAGCCACCUGCCCAGGGGGACGCAGCCUCCAGGGGGGCAGGCCCACUCCACACUCCGGCAGCGCCAGAGACGCUGCAGCGUCUCUGACAACUUGGUCUCACCCAACUAGGUUGCCCACCUCACACCUCUUUUUCUUUUUUUUCUGUUUUUGGUCUUUUUAGGGC
This 1015-nucleotide long non-coding RNA is filed under the name Sus scrofa (pig). Its description in RNAcentral is "lncRNA (ENSSSCG00065037799.1)". The record is from RNAcentral. Lineage: Eukaryota; Metazoa; Chordata; Mammalia; Artiodactyla; Suidae.